GGGAGCUCUAUCCAGAACUGCUCCACCGGAAAGAGGAGUGGCGAACGGGUGAGUAACACGUGGGUAACCUGCCCAUCAGAAGGGGAUAACACUUGGAAACAGGUGCUAAUACCGUAUAACAAUCGAAACCGCAUGGUUUUGAUUUGAAAGGCGCUUUCGGGUGUCGCUGAUGGAUGGACCCGCGGUGCAUUAGCUAGUUGGUGAGGUAACGGCUCACCAAGGCCACGAUGCAUAGCCGACCUGAGAGGGUGAUCGGCCACAUUGGGACUGAGACACGGCCCAAACUCCUACGGGAGGCAGCAGUAGGGAAUCUUCGGCAAUGGACGAAAGUCUGACCGAGCAACGCCGCGUGAGUGAAGAAGGUUUUCGGAUCGUAAAACUCUGUUGUUAGAGAAGAACAAGGAUGAGAGUAACUGUUCAUCCCUUGACGGUAUCUAACCAGAAAGCCACGGCUAACUACGUGCCAGCAGCCGCGGUAAUACGUAGGUGGCAAGCGUUGUCCGGAUUUAUUGGGCGUAAAGCGAGCGCAGGCGGUUUCUUAAGUCUGAUGUGAAAGCCCCCGGCUCAACCGGGGAGGGUCAUUGGAAACUGGGAGACUUGAGUGCAGAAGAGGAGAGUGGAAUUCCAUGUGUAGCGGUGAAUGGCCGUAGAUAAAA
RNAcentral lists this ribosomal RNA (656 nucleotides) under Enterococcus sp. LQC 1637. RNAcentral's name for it is "bacterial SSU rRNA". It matches the Rfam family "Bacterial small subunit ribosomal RNA", at positions 64 to 699 of the family's 1533-position model. Lineage: Bacteria; Bacillati; Bacillota; Bacilli; Lactobacillales; Enterococcaceae. The record is from RNAcentral.